This 305-nucleotide ribosomal RNA is filed under the name uncultured bacterium. Its description in RNAcentral is "bacterial SSU rRNA". It matches the Rfam family "Bacterial small subunit ribosomal RNA", at positions 334 to 656 of the family's 1533-position model. The record is from RNAcentral.
UUUUCCUACGGGACGCAGCAGUGGGGGAUAUUGCACAAUGGGGGGAACCCUGAUGCAGCGACGCCGCGUGGGUGAAGAAGCGCCUCGGCGCGUAAAGCCCUGUCAGCAGGGAAGAAAAUGACGGUACCUGAAUAAGAAGCACCGGCUAAAUACGUGCCAGCAGCCGCGGUAAUACGUAUGGUGCAAGCGUUAUCCGGAUUUACUGGGCGUAAAGGGAGCGCAGGCGGCGCGCCAAGUCUGAUGUGAAACCCCGGGGCUCAACCCCGGGCAUGCAUUGGAAACUGGCGGGCUGGAGUGCCGGAGAG